UAUUGCACAAUGGGCGCAAGCCUGAUGCAGCCAUGCCGCGUGUGUGAAGAGGGCCUUCGGGUUGUAAAGCACUUUCAGUCAGGAGGAAAGGUUAGUAGUUAAUACCUGCUAGCUGUGACGUUACUGACAGAAGAAGCACCGGCUAACUCCGUGCCAGCAGCCGCGGUAAUACGGAGGGUGCGAGCGUUAAUCGGAAUUACUGGGCGUAAAGCGUACGCAGGCGGUUUGUUAAGCGAGAUGUGAAAGCCCCGGGCUCAACCUGGGAACUGCAUUUCGAACUGGCAAACUAGAGUGUGAUAGAGGGUGGUAGAAUUUCAGGUGUAGCGGUGAAAUGCGUAGAGAUUUGAAGGAAUACCGAUGGCGAAGGCAGCCACCUGGGUCAACACUGACGCUCAUUACGAAA
RNAcentral lists this ribosomal RNA (403 nucleotides) under uncultured bacterium. RNAcentral describes it as "bacterial SSU rRNA". It matches the Rfam family "Bacterial small subunit ribosomal RNA", at positions 362 to 758 of the family's 1533-position model. The record is from RNAcentral.